RNAcentral lists this unclassified non-coding RNA (341 nucleotides) under soil metagenome. Its description in RNAcentral is "partial contains 5.8S ribosomal RNA, internal transcribed spacer 2, and large subunit ribosomal RNA". The stretch from base 1 to 120 matches the Rfam family "5.8S ribosomal RNA", at positions 35 to 154 of the family's 154-position model. The record is from RNAcentral.
GAUGAAGAACGUAGCGAAAUGCGAUAAGUAGUGUGAAUUGCAGAAUUCAGUGAAUCAUCGAAUCUUUGAACGCACAUUGCGGCCAUAGGUAUUCCUUUGGCCAUGCCUGUUCGAGCGUCAUUUACACCCUCAAGCCUAGCUUGGUGUUGGGCGUCUGUCCCGCCGUUUUCGCGCGCGGACUCGCCUCAAAGUCAUUGGCGGCGGUCGUGCCGGCCCCCUCGCGCAGCACAUUUGCGCUUCUCGGAGGCCCGGCGGAUCCGCGCUCCAGCAAGACCUUUCACGACUUGACCUCGGAUCAGGUAGGGAUACCCGCUGAACUUAAGCAUAUCAUAAGCGGAGGA